AAAAUUAGAAAAAAACACAAAUGUUGUUGCAAAUCAAGAGUGGGCUUCAAUCUCAACUCAUAAAGUCAAAACCUUCAGACUCUAAACCACAAUUGGCUUCGAAAACUAAAACAGACAGAAACAGAGAAACUCAAUCAUCUCAAUUUCAGAGGGAAAGGUUAGUUCUUUUCACAAAUCUUAGACAUAAAGUUUAGAGCUUUGAUAAGAAACGAAUCAUAAACAGGAGAAUGCACGGUGAAGAACCGAGGAUUGGGAUCAACAAGAAAUGGAAAACAAACCUGUGGGAAUCAACGACAAUGGACUGAUCUAAAACGAGAGAAGAUGAAUGGGUGA
RNAcentral lists this long non-coding RNA (333 nucleotides) under Capsella rubella. Its description in RNAcentral is "long non-coding RNA (CRUB_LNC003570)". Lineage: Eukaryota; Viridiplantae; Streptophyta; Magnoliopsida; Brassicales; Brassicaceae. The record is from RNAcentral.